CGGUGCCUGGCGCGGCUCAGUAAGACUUGAGGAGCUGGAGAAACGUGAGCAAGGAGGGAAAAUCUUCAGAGUUCGGCUGCGAGGCUGGCGUGUCUUGGGAUCCUGGCGUUUGUUGGUAGGCGCGAUGGGGGUGCUAGGAGUUGGCUUCUCUGCUUCCGCCUUUGCUGGUGUGGCCAAAGAAACAUCCCCAAAGAGCCGGUAGCCGCCAGCAAGGCAAAGCACUCAGCACUGUAGACUUUGUCUCCCCUGAUGACCGAGUGGUCUUCUGCACCUGCGAAAGAGAACAGAACAGGGUGGUCUUCCAGAUGAGAAAAUGACGUAGCUGGUAUUGAUGUCAACAUGGGCUGCCCAAAAGAAUAUUCCACCAAGGAGGACAGGCACAGAAUGGACUCGCUUCUCAUCGAGGAUCUCCUUGGGGCUUUUGGGAAAGAAGGUGCCAUCUACGGUGAAAGAAGUCAUACCCGUUUUCUGCUGGAGAAAGCAAGGCAGGAGGCUCUCAAGUCAGGACCCAGCCUCAAAGCAUGGGACCCAGGGGCCAUGUCGCUGUGUGCCUGAGUGGCUGAGCCUUGAGGGAAAGUGGGGGGAUGGAGAUUACCAGGGUGAGGGGCCCAGGGGGAAUCAGGAGACCAGGCAACUGAUGCUUCCAAGCAGGUCUCUUCCCUAGAAGACAGGGCCUGCCCUCGGGGAUGAGGGUGGCCUCCAUUCCUGUCCCCAGGCCUAGUCGGGCCCUGGGCCCAGAACCCCCUCUGUGCCAUUGCCUGGCACCGUCGCCAAGGAGGUGGGCAUACCAACUUGCUAAAGAUCAGUUUGUCUCCUUCCUUCUCCCGAAGGCACCGCAGUAUCUCAGCUGAGGAGUGGGAGCUGCAGGCAAAGGAGUCCGCGAUGUCCUGGGGACAGACAAAAGUGUCAUGCCUCCCUCUCAGCCACUGACCCCCACCUUGCAGCCCUCUGCCUCCCAUAGAGAGGGGGAGCCUCUGCAGCACAGCUGGGCGUGAUGUCACAGAUCAGGCCUAAGACUGGCCACAACUCCUGAAAAGCCUGCUCUGCCCACCAGCUUGGGUGGUCCCCGGGGACUGUGUGUGUCCUCUGUUAUACUAUAAUGUCAUUAUCUGGGGAUGAGGGGCUGUGUACCCUUUGCUCUUUCUUUAUUAUUAUUUCAGAUAUUACGGGGAACAAAUGUUUAGGUUACAUAUAUUGCCUUUGCCCCGCCCCCCA
Lemur catta (Ring-tailed lemur) is the source of this 1215-nucleotide long non-coding RNA. RefSeq lists it as uncharacterized. NCBI's taxonomy places the organism in Eukaryota, Metazoa, Chordata, Mammalia, Primates, Lemuridae. The record is from RefSeq and is a predicted model, not a curated record. The transcript is spliced from 5 exons.